GUGCCAGCAGCAGCGGUAAUACGUAGGUGGCAAGCGUUGUCCGGAUUUAUUGGGCGUAAAGCGAGCGCAGGCGGUUUCUUAAGUCUGAUGUGAAAGCCCCCGGCUCAACCGGGGAGGGUCAUUGGAAACUGGGAAACUUGAGUGCAGAAGAGGAGAGUGGAAUUCCAUGUGUAGCGGUGAAAUGCGUAGAUAUAUGGAGGAACACCAGUGGCGAAGGCGGCUCUCUGGUCCGUAACUGACGCUGAGCUCGAAAGCGUGGGAGCAAACAGGAUUAGAUACCC
Molecule: ribosomal RNA, 281 nt
Filed under: uncultured Enterococcus sp.
Lineage: Bacteria; Bacillati; Bacillota; Bacilli; Lactobacillales; Enterococcaceae
Description: partial 16S ribosomal RNA
Rfam family: Bacterial small subunit ribosomal RNA
Source: RNAcentral